Long non-coding RNA from Hypanus sabinus (Atlantic stingray), 423 nucleotides. RefSeq lists it as uncharacterized. The record is from RefSeq and is a predicted model, not a curated record. The transcript is spliced from 4 exons. Lineage: Eukaryota; Metazoa; Chordata; Chondrichthyes; Myliobatiformes; Dasyatidae.
GGUCAAAGUUCGAGUAGGGAGUUCAGGCUUGGCUCUUAGAGGCUUCAGUGAGGAGAGACCAGCGCACCAUGUCUGGAAUGCACCAGACCCUCUGAUGUUUGCCAGGACUGCCAGAGCUGCCAGUCCAGAGGGUGGCAAGAGUGUGGAACGAGCUGCCCGUGGAAGUGCUGGACGCAGGUUCAAUUGCAACAUUUAGGUGAAGCUUUGAAAGCUGUUCAUUUCCUGUACAUGGACACACGCUGACAUAAGUGACAUAAGUGACAUAAUCUGGAUUCUGAUUAUGCUAGACAACAAAGGUUUCACUGCCUGAAUAUUUUUGGGUGUACCUUACGGAUUUUGAACUGCUGUUAAUGAAAAUUACCAUGAAUUUCUCUUAUCACGCACCAUUUGUUUGAAAUUGCCUAUAUUUGUUAUAUCAGUUCA